Molecule: ribosomal RNA, 433 nt
Filed under: uncultured bacterium
Lineage: Bacteria
Description: partial 16S ribosomal RNA
Rfam family: Bacterial small subunit ribosomal RNA
Source: RNAcentral
AACGAACGCUGGCGGCAGGCCUAACACAUGCAAGUCGAGCGCGCCCUUCGGGGUUAGCGGCGGACGGGGGAGUAACGCGGGGGAACGUGCCCUUUUCUACGGAAUAGCCUCGGGAAACUGAGAGUAAUACCACAUACGCCCUUAGGGGGUAAGAGUUAUCGGAAAAGGAUCGGCCCGCGUUAGAUUAGGUGGUUGGUGGGGUAAUAGCCUACCAAGCCGACGAUCCAUAGCUGGUUGGAGAGGAUGAUCAUCCAGGCUAGGAAUGCGACCCGGACCACAAUGCGACGGGAGGCAGCAGUGGAGAAUCUUAGACGAUGGGGGCUACCGUGAUCAAGCCAUGCCGGGUGAGUGAUGAAUGCCUUAGGGUUGUAAAGCCCUUUCAGCUGGGAAGAUAAUGACGGUACCGGCAGAAGAAGCCCCGGCUAACUACGUG